UUCACAGUGUUGCAAGUCGCCAGUACC
This 27-nucleotide non-coding RNA is filed under the name Homo sapiens (human). The record is from RNAcentral. Lineage: Eukaryota; Metazoa; Chordata; Mammalia; Primates; Hominidae.